UCUCGUUUCGAUCUCAGAAGUUAAGUCUUUUCGCGUUUUGUUUGUGUACUAUGGGUUUCGGUCUAUGGGAAUUUCAUUUUGCUGCCAGCC
RNAcentral lists this ribosomal RNA (90 nucleotides) under Methanobrevibacter olleyae. The record is from RNAcentral. Lineage: Archaea; Methanobacteriati; Methanobacteriota; Methanobacteria; Methanobacteriales; Methanobacteriaceae.